CAGCAUAUUGAUGACACCCUCGUUAUACGCAGCAAACAACCGUAUGGAAUCUUUGAAGAGCAGCAUGAAGGCGGUGUUGAUGACGCCGUUGCUCAGCUCGUUGGAGUUGGGCUGUGGGUUGUAGUGUACGCACACGGACUCAGACCAGAUGCCGUCAUUGCACCCGGUGACGCCGCUGUUUUGUAUCAAGUGCUUACCUGGAAAUCCAGCAGCGCAUCCAGCUGGUUCUGAAUGAUCGGAAGCGUCUUAAUCAGCUUGUCUGUGUUCAUGGUGCGCAUCACGCCGUCGGCCCUGGUGACAUAACAGAUUUUGACGGGGCGGUCUUAUGGAAAUGAGCUUCUGCCUCCCGUAUUGCACAGCCAAUUCCAGCGUCCUCACCUCGUUGCCGUACAUCAUCAGGUGAUGCGUGGCGAUCAGCGCCUUGAAGACCACGAUCCAGCUGUUGCUGGCUGUGCGCUCGAGCAGCGUGUCUGCCAGUCAAGGUGCUUCUUCUUGGGUCCGCUCACUUCGUGCGUCGUGGCCUUGCAGACGGCUUUGCUGAUGGCCGAGCCGCUCAUGCUGUGCUGCGCGGCGACGAUCCGGUCCGUCAGAGUCGGCCCGGACAUGGUGGAGGAGGAGCGGCUUCGGCUGGAGCCUGGAGGAGGUGACGGGGAUUGGGGGGCCAGGACUCAUCAUUUGGGACAUGACAAGCAGCCGAGGUGCUCCUUGGUGGCAUUGGCAUACCCCGAGAGGACCAGGGUGGCGGGCUCUCGCUCGUUUGGGUGACUCUCCUCGUUGCUCAGGAUGUGCUCCACCAGACAGUGAGCAGCCUCCUCGAUGUUGCUGUUUUCCUAAGGGAGGGGAAAUCAUCAAGCCAUCUGUCCAUUUCCUGAGGCGCUUUUCCUCAUUAGGUGGUGCCUCCUGCUUGAUUAUGGCCUUCCUAGCCCAGCUGAGGUACUUGAUGGUAAACAACACGCAAUGCAGAAAACCUUGGCAGAGGUCUGGAACCAGCCGACGAAGCCGUUGUCUCUGCAGAAGGCAUCCAGCCUGGUCUGCGGGCACGCUACUUGGUCAGCCUUGUUGGCUAAUAGGACGGCGGGAACGGGUCUCCCGUGGUUCAGUGUCACCUUUGGACAUAAACAAGAUUGAAAGUGGGUCCUCACCGGCAAUGUCCCAGAGCUGCAGUCGGAUGACAGUGUCCCGGUCCCACUGGAGCACCUUGAGAGCGAAGUCGACACCGAUAGUGGCACGAUAGUGCUGUGAGAAGAUGUGGUGCACGUAGCGCUUGAUGAUGGACGU
Molecule: long non-coding RNA, 1278 nt
Organism: Hippocampus zosterae (dwarf seahorse)
Lineage: Eukaryota; Metazoa; Chordata; Actinopteri; Syngnathiformes; Syngnathidae
Exons: 7
Source: RefSeq, a predicted model, not a curated record